GAUGAACGCUGGCGGCGUGCCUAAUACAUGCAAGUCGAGCGAACGGACGAGAAGCUUGCUUCUCUGAUGUUAGCGGCGGACGGGUGAGUAACACGUGGAUAACCUACCUAUAAGACUGGGAUAACUUCGGGUAACCGGAGCUAAUACCGGAUGAUAUUUUGAACCGCAUGGUUCAAAAGUGAAAGACGGUCUUGCUGUCACUUAUAGAUGGAUCCGCGCUGCAUUAGCUAGUUGGUAAGGUAACGGCUUACCAAGGCAACGAUGCAUAGCCGACCUGAGAGGGUGAUCGGCCACACUGGAACUGAGACACGGUCCAGACCCCUACGGGAGGCAGCAGUAGGGAAUCUUCCGCAAUGGGCGAAAGCCUGACGGAGCAACGCCGCGUGAGUGAUGAAGGUCUUCGGUUCGUAAAACUCUGUUAUUAGGGAAGAACAUAUGUGUAAGUAACUGUGCACAUCUUGACGGUACCUAAUCAGAAAGCCACGGCUAACUACGU
Molecule: ribosomal RNA, 496 nt
Filed under: uncultured bacterium
Lineage: Bacteria
Description: partial 16S ribosomal RNA
Rfam family: Bacterial small subunit ribosomal RNA
Source: RNAcentral